GCCCGGGUGGUGGAAUUGGUAGACACACAGGACUUAAAAUCCUGAGUCUCGCAAGGGACGUGCCGGUUCGACUCCGGCCCUGGGCACCA
This 89-nucleotide transfer RNA is filed under the name Pseudomonadota bacterium. RNAcentral's name for it is "Proteobacteria bacterium (wastewater metagenome) tRNA-Leu". It matches the Rfam family "tRNA". From Rfam's summary of the family: Transfer RNA (tRNA) molecules are approximately 80 nucleotides in length. Their secondary structure includes four short double-helical elements and three loops (D, anti-codon, and T loops). Lineage: Bacteria; Pseudomonadati; Pseudomonadota. The record is from RNAcentral.